GAGAUUACUAAAAAGAAUUUCUAAUUCUAUUAAAAUGUAAGACAUUUAAUCUCU
RNAcentral lists this transfer RNA (54 nucleotides) under Phytoseiulus persimilis. Its description in RNAcentral is "tRNA-Ser". The record is from RNAcentral. Lineage: Eukaryota; Metazoa; Arthropoda; Arachnida; Mesostigmata; Phytoseiidae.